CCACCUCUCCAUCGUCCCUCUCGGCAACAACGCGACUAGGAUGGACAUCUUCCAACCAUGGCUUGUGCGACGGGGAACAUGAUGUUCAUGUCUUGAUUGUUCCUUCUUCCCUGUUGUUUUCCGUGUGAUGCCUUGUUUGUCUCAGCGGCGCAUCCCCUCAUCCUGCGGAACACUGUAUACCCGUUACAACACGCCGCCGCCUCCCUAGCCAGUCCCGCUUCCCCCUUCCCCCUUCCUAUUGAGCCCCUGUGGUGGUGGUGGUGGAUGAAAACAUCUCACCUGGAGGUUGGAGAGGGAUGAAUUGGAGAGGGAGGUGGGAAGACGGGGAGGAGGAUGUAGCCAACGACGGCAAUGCCGUUGCCCACCCCGCCGCCCAGAGUCAUCACGGCAGCACCCUGCCCUCCCUCCCUCCAAGCGUCACUGCUACCAUGGUGUGCUCUCCCUCUCACCGGUGCUUCUACAGCGAGACCCUAGUCGAACGACGGUUGGCAUCGUUUAUUGCAUGGCCUUGCAGAUCUACCACACUGUGCUCACCCUCAUAGUCAUUCGUCAUACCACCUCACGGAAUCGUGAGUUUGGCCGCCACAAGCACGCUCGUGCCACCGCAAGGUCCGUAAUAAGAUUGCUACCAGGGAGUAGAAGGGAAGAUAGGCAGAUCAUGAGGGUCUCCCACUCCUUCAUCCCCAGUGGCAGAUUAGCAGUGGAAUCGGUGUACACAUGAGAACCAAGGCAUCUCUGACUAUAAAAGUUGAUGAGUUGUAGCUGAAAAUUCCGAAUUCCUUCUCAUUUAGAAUCUUCAGCUUACGCUCUUCUAAUUUGCAACAAUUUUCCUCAUCUAAUGACACUCGAUUUUUCUUGCAUGACUAUUGACUAGGCUGAUAACAUGUUCAUGAUGAAAAGACUUAAGAGCGCAGCGGCACUCCAAGCUUCAGAAGUUUUUUUCCUUUCCUUCCAGUUGUUCCAAUGGGAUGUACUUAGAAGGAUCGAGAGUACAGUGUCACAUGCUGGAAGCAAGUCAUUUGGAAAAUAUAGCACCUCAAGGAGCCAGAAUAAAAUAAAUCGGAGAAUUGGAUGAGCCAAAGACAAGCAUAUUCAGAAAUAGAGAGUUUACCGGGAUUCUGGGAGAAAAUCUACAUGGCAUCAUGAGGAAAGAGGAGUUGAAGUACGGUAUGGGAUACUAAAUAGUGUAAAUUGUACUUCUAUUUUCUUCUUCAAUUGGAUCUUUCUCUAUGGACCAAUUUAUAUCGUAUACUGAAAUCAUGUUAUAUUAAGAAGUAUCAUGAUAGAGUUAGCUUGUCCAAUGAAUCGAUAUGUUUAACAAUGGGAAUUUGGAGGAUUAAUUAGUUGAAUUAAUGUUCUUCUUUUAACCUAUUAGAGAUCAAAUGGAUGAAACA
Molecule: long non-coding RNA, 1394 nt
Organism: Triticum dicoccoides
Lineage: Eukaryota; Viridiplantae; Streptophyta; Magnoliopsida; Poales; Poaceae
Exons: 6
Source: RefSeq, a predicted model, not a curated record